UACGUAGGUGGCGAGCGUUGGCCGGAUUUACUGGGCGUAAAGAGCGCGCAGGCGGUCGUUCAAGUCGCGUGUGAAAGCCCCCGGCUCAACUGGGGAGGGUCACGCGAUACUGAUCGACUCGAAGGCAGGAGAGGGAAGUGGAAUUCCCGGUGUAGUGGUGAAAUGCGUAGAUAUCGGGAGGAACACCAGUGGCGAAGGCGACUUCCUGGCCUGUUCUUGACGCUGAGGCGCGAAAGCUAGGGGAGCAAACGGG
This 253-nucleotide ribosomal RNA is filed under the name uncultured bacterium. RNAcentral's name for it is "partial 16S ribosomal RNA". It matches the Rfam family "Bacterial small subunit ribosomal RNA", at positions 524 to 776 of the family's 1533-position model. The record is from RNAcentral.